AUUGAACGCUGGCGGCAUGCUUUACACAUGCAAGUCGAACGGCAGCACGGGCUUCGGCCUGGUGGCGAGUGGCGAACGGGUGAGUAAUAUAUCGGAACGUACCCAGCCGUGGGGGCUAACGUAGCGACAGUUACGCUAAUACCGCAUACGAUCUAUGGAUGAAACCCGGGGACCGCAAGUCCUUGUGCUCCUUGAUCUGCCGAUAUCUGAUUAGCUAGUUGGUGAGGUAAAGGCUCACCAAGGCGACGAUCAGUAGCUGGUCUGAGAGGACGACCAGCCACACUGGAACUGAGACACGGUCCAGACUCCUACGGGAGGCAGCAGUGGGGAAUUUUGGACAAUGGGCGCAAGCCUGAUCCAGCAAUGCCGCGUGAGUGAAGAAGGCCUUCGGGUUGUAAAGCUCUUUUGUCAGGGAAGAAACGGUAGAGGCUAAUAUCCUGUGCUAAUGACGGUACCUGAAGAAUAAGCACCGGCUAACUACGUG
RNAcentral lists this ribosomal RNA (484 nucleotides) under uncultured bacterium. RNAcentral describes it as "partial 16S ribosomal RNA". It matches the Rfam family "Bacterial small subunit ribosomal RNA", at positions 30 to 507 of the family's 1533-position model. The record is from RNAcentral.